GGGGGGGGGGGGGGGGGGGGGGGGAGGGGGGGGGGGAAGGGGAAGGGGCCGGCGGGUGCUGACGAGUGGCGGACGGGUGAGUAAUGCAUCGGAACGUACCCAGAGGUGGGGGAUAACGCAGCGAAAGCUGUGCUAAUACCGCAGGUGAUCUGAGGAUGAAAGCGGGGGACCGAGCAGCAAUGUUUGGCCUCGCGCCUUUGGAGCGGCCGAUGUCGGAUUAGCUAGUUGGUGGGGUAAAGGCCUACCAAGGCGACGAUCCGUAGCUGGUCUGAGAGGACGACCAGCCACACUGGGACUGAGACACGGCCCAGACUCCUACGGGAGGCAGCAGUGGGGAAUUUUGGACAAUGGGCGCAAGCCUGAUCCAGCAAUGCCGCGUGCGGGAAGAAGGCCUUCGGGUUGUAAACCGCUUUUGGCAGGAACGAAACGGUGUCCGCUAAUACCGGGCGCUAAUGACGGUACCUGCAGAAUAAGCACCGGCUAACUACGUG
RNAcentral lists this ribosomal RNA (491 nucleotides) under uncultured bacterium. Its description in RNAcentral is "partial 16S ribosomal RNA". It matches the Rfam family "Bacterial small subunit ribosomal RNA", at positions 35 to 507 of the family's 1533-position model. The record is from RNAcentral.